Molecule: transfer RNA, 71 nt
Filed under: Marmota monax (woodchuck)
Lineage: Eukaryota; Metazoa; Chordata; Mammalia; Rodentia; Sciuridae
Description: tRNA.Ala
Source: RNAcentral
UUGGGUGUAGGUCAGCGGUAGAGCACUUGCACAGCAUGCACAAGGUCCUGGGUUCUAUCCCAGCACCAAAU